Molecule: long non-coding RNA, 1994 nt
Organism: Myotis daubentonii (Daubenton's bat)
Lineage: Eukaryota; Metazoa; Chordata; Mammalia; Chiroptera; Vespertilionidae
Source: RefSeq, a predicted model, not a curated record
CAUCCAGGACACAGUCAGCUCCAGCUCCUUGUCCCUCCUGUGACCACCUCCAGCCUCUCCCAGCUGAGCACUGGACCAGUUGGAGUUCACAAAGGGUCAGCAGGGGUUUCCUUUGCACUUAACUAAAGGAUGUGUGCUGGGCGAGUGUUGACCUCUGAGUCUCAGUUCCCUCCUCUGUAAACAGGAAUACAACAGCCUGCUCCUGUCGCCUGCCUUCCGGGGGAGUCAAAACUUCAAGGAGUAGCUGUGGAUUACCUUUAAUAAGUGGCGCAGCUCCUGGCCAAGGGAUCAUAUGUGUGUGUGUGUGGGUGUGUGUGGUGGGGAUGGGAUUGCGGUUUUUAAAACAGUUUUUAAAAUAUAUAUUUUUUUAUUGAUUUCAGAGAGGGAGAGAGAGACAGAAACAUCGAAUCAAGCCCACAACCCGGGCAUAUGCCCUGACUGGGAAUCGAACCAUGAGCUCCUGGCUCAUAGGUUGACACCCAACUACCAAGCCAUACUGGCUGGGCAAGUGCUGUGGGUGAAUAAAAAUACCAAUAAACCGCAAAUGUGUCUCCUAAACUCAACAGCGUUAGGUUUGACUGGAAAGUAUUAAUUGUGCCUCAUUUGAGCUCAUCCCUGCUUCUGCUCUGUUGGUGACAUUCCCUGUGUGUCACGCACAGUGUGCUGUCUGUGCUAUGCUAUGCUUCGACAAGAGAUUAAAUUUUAGCAUGUUUUAUAUUUCAUCCUAAAUUUUUUUUUUCGAGUGUAUGAAGUCACAUCGGUUAUGUUUGAUAACCCACUUUUGCAUGGAUUUUCCUAUAAAUUAGAGGGCGUUGUGCCUCUCAACUCUCACACCACAGUACGGAGAAACCCCCAGCACGUGGAAAUAUGACGGAUGUCGUGUUAGCGUGUGGCUUGGCAAUAAUAAGGAUUAUAAAUGACUCACUAGGCAGAGAGAACCGGGGAGACUUGCUGGGAAGAAAGAAACGGCGUGCUGUCUUUAUGGGCAGCCCGAAGAAGGCACCAGAAAGAUAUAUCACUUUCACCUGGUUUGUAUUUCUAAGGGGGUUUUAUUAACCCCUUUUUAUCAAUCGAAAUAAAUUGAUUGCCAGUGAAUGCAAUAUUUUCUGACUCUUUGAAAUUAUAAAACAGAAGCAAAGACCGAAAACUCACGUAUUUCAUCUCCUGGUAAAUGAGAGACAAACUCCCUCGGACGAGACUGCUAAAUAGUGUUAAAGAUUUCUGUGGCGGUUCCUUAAGAUAGGAUGUUUCCUUUAAGGCCAGGAGUGGGCCUUGGGGCAUCUGGAACCGGCUUUAUCCUGCCGUGUUAGUGGCCAGGUAUUCCAGAACACCGCUCUUUAAUAUUCAUGCCUCAUCGUAAAAGGACAUAUUUCUGUAGGUAAAUACAUUUAUGGCUAAUAACACGCUCUGGGUAGAGAAUGAUAUAAUAACCUGCUUCAAGGAGAGAGGAAGCCAGGUGGCCUGGAAUCCCUUGACAAGUGCCGCCUGAAGCCACUUCCAGCCGAGACACAGUGAUGGCGAACGUGUGGGAACGGGAAAAUCAACAAUUCUCCCAAGCGGGAAGGCAUUUGAGGUCAGCAAUCAUUCCACAGAAAACGUAUCCCAGCCACCCCAGCCCGAGGGGUGCCGCCCCGAUGGGGGACCCUCUGAACUGGGAGUUCUCCCAGGAUCAGAAGCCAUUCUGGACCCGGCACAGCCUUCAGGAUGGCUUUACUGUCACCGCCUUCCUCAGGGCCCCUGAGCCUCGCUGGGGGCAGCUGGUGACCCCUGGGCACAGGCGCUCUGGAGGAGGCUCAAGAAUACAGGUUUCAGAAAGUUCAAACAAAUACUUGGCCCUGGCCGUGGGGCCUCAGCUGGUUGGGCGUCGUCCAUCCACACACCAAAAGGUUGCCAGUUCAGUUCCCUAUCAGGGCACAUGCCAGGGUUGAGGGCUCCGUCCCCGGUAGGGAGCGUGCAUGAGGCAGCUGAUUGACGGUUCAAUGUUUCUCUCUCCC